UCUGAGCUGGUGUAAGUUUAGGCAUGCAAGGCUUUCAAUCUUGAGGAGGGAGACCCCCGUUCAGAUC
RNAcentral lists this transfer RNA (67 nucleotides) under Magallana bilineata (tropical oyster). RNAcentral describes it as "tRNA-Glu". Lineage: Eukaryota; Metazoa; Mollusca; Bivalvia; Ostreida; Ostreidae. The record is from RNAcentral.